GAACUAACGAAACACUGGGCCGCCUGCAGCGGAACGCGCGAACUUAACCACUCGGCCACGGGGCCAGCCCCAUGGAAGGUCAUUUUUAAAGCAACGAUGUCAGGGGCCAGAGAGGAACCCAGCCCAAAGUCCCCAAAUCUACCUGGUAGAUGCCACCAACUUCAGGAAGGCUUCCGGCAAGGAGACCUUGGGCAGGCUGGGUGAUGCCCCAGUGCCCUCGGCUGUGCCUGCCCUUGAUCACCAGGCUGUUCACUGCCUGGGAAGCUGGGAGCUGGGGCACCUGGAUGGUCUGGAAAUGGAGGGCCUGUGGAGCCCCAUGCUUGCCUGCUCCUCCCUGCCACCCUCUCCCUGAGAGCAAGAGGCAAGGCCAGGAGGCUCCUGGGAGCCUAAUUCCCAGGGCCUGGCAGCCAGCUCUGUAGCUGAUGCAAGGCCAGGGACGGGUGAGCUCAGUCUGUCUCCGGCACGUGGAGCUUCUUGCAUCCUAGAAAACAUACCCAUUCAUUCCUGUCUGCUUCAGCCCUCCUAGGUCUCUGGCUCCAUUCUUCUGGAAGCAGAGCAGGGCCGCGUAAGGCUCUGGGAGCAAGCCUUGCUUGGUGCUAGGGCAGCACUGAGCAUUUUGGAGUCAACCCCACUCCCCUGCACAGGCAGCCUUUGAACAGUACUGGGACUCGGAGCCCUGCCUCCAGGGGGCCUGUCCAGUGGAAAUGGAGAACCUGGGUACCCCUUGGCCCUCAGGCUCUAUCCAUGCCAGCCCACUUCUCCUUCAGGGAGAGGUCAGACAGCCCUGGCAAGUCUCUUAUCCCAUUAGAAGGAUGGACUUUCUUCCACCUGCCUCCACCUCUUAGUCUUGAUGCCCACGCCCCAGGUAGGAAUGCCAGGGCCCUACCACCCUCUCAAGGACCCUCGAGGCAUCAUCAGCUCAGGAUGAGGAUUCAUUCGGCAGCUAUUUACUAAGAGCUCGGUAAUAAUCACAUAACAUGUAAUAGCACAACGCGGAUAACGUGUGUGCCUCAAAAUGCUUUCAUGAUUAAUUAGUGCUUCAAGGGAUCCUAGUCACAGUGCUGUGACGUAGGGAGGCCCUCGAUGAAGAAGCUAAGGCCCAGAGAGUUUAAGUGGCAGAACCGGAAGUCCUGCCCGCAGGGUCUUCUUGCCGGCAAGCGCCUGAGUGGGAAGCAGGCUUCGAGAGGCAGGCUUGCUUGUCACUGGAGACCCAUUUAGACAGAGGAACUUUUCUCCUGGGGAAGGAGGAGCAGGUGGAGGAGGCUGGGAGAAGAGGACUUGUGGAUUUGGGGUAGAGGCAUGCUGGGGGCCAGGCCUGUCUGGGAAGGCCUGGAGAGGUUCUGGGGGCACUGAGAUCCGGAAGGGAGGGUACUCAGAGCACUGGAGUUGCAGCUCCUGCCCUUCAGCUGCUCACUCAGACAAAGGCUCAUUGGUCACGCCAACCUCAGGCUAGUUCCCGCUGGGUUGUGGCUGCUGCCUGGGGGCUGAGGCAGGCUUCAGGACUGGCCUCUCCAAUUCUGGCCCGGGACCAGUGGCAGUGGCCAUUACUGGCGUCCCUGUUGAUACCAGCAUUGAAUGAAGCCGUCUUUGUCACCUGCCCCAUCUACCUUGGGUCUACCCUUCCCCCUCGGCCGUGCUUGACCCUCUCUGGGUGGCUGUCUGCACAUCUUCAUGACCUUCGCCCACUCUCUCAGCAGUUCUUGUUGCUGACGCAACUUCUGAGGCUGGUGAGCUGAGGCUGCCCAGGCUCGCAGGCAGGUGAGCACACAGUGCCCUGUUCUGGAGGGUACAGCCUGUGCCAACCACACCCGCCCCUCCCUGACUCGGGCUCUCAGGCCUGGCGGGGAGAUCUGUGAUGGAGCUGGAGGUGAAGAGGGAGCAGCUGUGCCCUUCUCAUUGGAAGGACUCAGAGAUGAGACACACAGCUCCGGGGGCCACACGAGGCCCAGCCUGCACGGUGCUCUGAGCCCUCUUGUCUCCUCUCCUCUCCUUCACCGACCCCUCACGGUCAGAGAAGAGGAAUCUGGAGGAGAAAACCCAAUGCAAAGCCAGCUCCUGGCUCUGCCCCAACCCUGAACCAAUCCCUGGAACCACUAGCAUCCCUCCUGUGUUUAUUUAUCUUUUAUUAGAUAUUACAAUCACAUGAGAUUAAAUUAAAAAUGUAUAAAAGAGUUUAAUGCAGAGAAAACAAACACCCCUCCCACGCCUUUCACUCAAUUGCCCGGCUCUCCUCCCCAGGGAAAAGCAGUGUUACCAGUUUCUUGUGUUUCUUUACAGAGAUAGGCUAGACUAACCAUUGGAUUUUUGAUUAUCAAAUCUCACAUAGCAAGGUCACAUCUUGCUUAACUUUUCAGCUUGGGAUGAGGAGGGAUAAAGUCCCCUGCUCUGAGCAUUCCUUAAGAAGGGACAGGAAGUGGGCAGAGAGAAACCUCCCACGGCAGGCCCACGUUCCAGUUCUCUCUCCUCUGCAGGACCCUCCACCUGUCACUUCAUUCACCACGCAAGGCCUAAAUGAAAAAGGACAGAUGGCAUUGACCUCAUUUCUUAGACAGGGAAGCUGAGGAGCCAAGAUGUUAAGGAGACUCAAGGUCACACAGCAGGCUGGGGCACCUCAGUUUUUCUAUACCCUCACCCCACCUCCCUAAUAUCUUCUCUUCAUCUUCUAAAUGGCCUCGAGUUCUUAAAUAUAUUAUUGUCACAAUUAGACUAUGGACAUCUCAAGGGCAGUGUCAAGGACUCUCUUCUUUGUCACCCCUCUGAGCUGGACUCUGAGCUGGGCCCCAUGCAGCCUCUUGGCGGUGGUCAACGACGUCGCCUGAAUCAACUGGCUCCACUUCCUGCUUCCUCAUUCUGCUCAAGGUGUCACCAUGCUUACGGUCGAGGACACCGAUCUGGGCCCGGGAUCUCACCUGACUCUCUCCAGGCUCCCCAAGGACCAAAGCUCUAUUGUGGGAUCAAGGCCCCAUCUGCCUUCCUGGAGUUCCAACCAUGGCCUGCUGCCAAGUCCUGCUCCCCACCACCCUCCAUUGCCUUGUUCCCCCUGGAUUUCCACCACAGGUAACGGUGUGAAGUCAGGGUGAACUUAAUUGGGGUGAAGGAUGACUGCUGCAUUAAAUUGGAUGGAACUGGUCUGUUCAACCACUGCCCAUUAAAAAUGGUGGCCUUUCUUUAACAUAGCCAUAAUGAGACCAUCCCUCCAGAGAAAAGUGCUAAUAGAAUCACCCGCCUUGAAUGCUUAACUCUUACUCAAUGCCUUGACCUGGACGUCUGAUAGACAUGGCCCACAUACUAUCUAAAAUCAAACCUUUUCUUCCCCCCAAACCUGCUCAUUCCACAGCGUUCCCUAGCUCAGUAAAAGACUACAUGGCACCUUCGUUCUUUCAGUGCUCAGACCAAAACCAGUUUAAGGUCUCCUUUGAUGUGUUUCCUUUACUCACACUCUACAGUAAAUAUAUCAGUAAAUCCUUCAUUGGCUCUACCUUCAAAAUAUAUCCACCACUUCCCCUGCUGCCACUGUUCCUAGCCACUGAAGUCUUGACCAUGACCUCCCAGGCUCCAUGUCAUCUGGCCCACUGCCACCUCCCUGGUCUCAUCUCCUGCCACUCUGCCUACUUUGCUCCUGCUGCACUGGCCUUCUUGCUGGUCCUCAGGCACCACAGCCCACUCUUGCCUCGAGGCCUUUGCCCUGCUGUCCUCUCACUUGGAAUUUUCUCCCCGGGCACUCACAAUGCUGGCUUUCUCAUUUUCUUGUGGUCCCUGCCCAGAUGUCACUUCCUCAGUGAGACCUCCAGACCACCCUAUUUAAGGUAAACCCUCCCACAUUCAAUACUCCCACACGCUAGAUCCCUCUUUGCGUUUUUUUUGUUGUUGUACUUAUCACGACUUGGCAUAUCAUCUGUGUACACAUAUAAAAAUAAAAUAUUACAUAUUU
Molecule: non-coding RNA, 3931 nt
Organism: Equus caballus (horse)
Lineage: Eukaryota; Metazoa; Chordata; Mammalia; Perissodactyla; Equidae
Source: RefSeq, a predicted model, not a curated record